RNAcentral lists this ribosomal RNA (253 nucleotides) under uncultured bacterium. RNAcentral describes it as "partial 16S ribosomal RNA". It matches the Rfam family "Bacterial small subunit ribosomal RNA", at positions 524 to 776 of the family's 1533-position model. The record is from RNAcentral.
UACGUAGGGUCCGAGCGUUGUCCGGAAUUAUUGGGCGUAAAGGGCUCGUAGGCGGUCUGUUGCGUCGGGAGUGAAAACUUACAGCUUAACUGUGAGCGUGCUUUCGAUACGGGCAGACUUGAGGCAUUCAGGGGAGAACGGAAUUCCUGGUGUAGCGGUGAAAUGCGCAGAUAUCAGGAAGAACACCCGUGGCGAAGGCGGCUCUCUGGGACGGUACUGACGCUGAGACGCGAAAGCGUGGGGAGCGAACAGG